UGGUCGGACGCCUAGCCUGUGUAAAGCUCCUUCGACGAGUCGAGUAGUUUGGGAAUGCUGCUCUAAAUGGGAGGUAUAUGUCUUCUAAAGCUAAAUACCGGCCAGAGACCGAUAGCGCACAAGUAGAGUGAUCGAAAGAUGAAAAGCACUUUGAAAAGAGGGUUAAAUAGUACGUGAAAUUGUUGAAAGGGAAGCGCUUGUGACCAGACUUGGGCCCGGUGGAUCAUCCAGCGUUCUCGCUGGUGCACUCCGCCGGGUUCAGGCCAGCAUCAGUUCGCCGCGGGGGAAAAAGGCUUCGGGAACGUGGCUCCUACGGGAGUGUUAUAGCCCGUUGCAUAAUACCCUGGGGCGGACUGAGGUUCGCGCUCCGCAAGGAUGCUGGCGUAAUGGUCAUCAGCGACCCGUCUUGAAACACGGACCAAGGAG
This 426-nucleotide ribosomal RNA is filed under the name uncultured Paecilomyces. Its description in RNAcentral is "LSU rRNA". It matches the Rfam family "Eukaryotic large subunit ribosomal RNA", at positions 226 to 673 of the family's 3401-position model. Lineage: Eukaryota; Fungi; Ascomycota; Eurotiomycetes; Eurotiales; Thermoascaceae. The record is from RNAcentral.